This 1814-nucleotide long non-coding RNA is filed under the name Marmota monax (woodchuck). The record is from RNAcentral. Lineage: Eukaryota; Metazoa; Chordata; Mammalia; Rodentia; Sciuridae.
CGAAAAUUUUAGCUAAAACUCUAUUUGGUUGUAUGGUGUUCCCUUCUUUCUAUUUGUGUGUUGGCCGUGAAUUCAGAGGUUUCAGCAAACCCAGUGCCAAAGGAGCGGGAGUGGGACAGAGCCUGUAAAGGUUUUUAAAUAAGAGCGAGGAGUUUAUGUGUUUGGAAACAUAACUCUGGGAGCGCCAUAAAGGAAUGAUUCCGAGGGACGAAAGAAUUUUUUCCCCCUGAAGAUUGUGAUAAAGAUGUGUGAACUAAGGUAAUGCAGUGGGAAGAACCAGAGAAUUUUUGAGGUAAAUAAAGAGAGUAAAUAGCAUACCUGAGAGGUGAGGCUAGAAAGAACUGCUGGCAGUAGAGGAAGUUUUUCUUAAAAUGUUUAUGCAUGUUUAUAAAUAAAAAAGGCAGAAAUGCCACACAUUUAGUCCAUGAUGUAUCAAGUAGAAAUGGGAAUGUCCCUAAGAGAGUGAAGCAAGGGAGACUCUAAAAGCCCUAAAUCCUGAGCAAGGACUGAGAUUGGGACUGAGUAGAACAGUUGAGAUACCAACAGGAGUAGGAAUUUAGGAACUGUUGUGAGACUUCUCACUAAUCUGGCCUCUUUCUCUCUCAGGAUACUUGGAACACCUGUGCAAGCACUGGAUUUUGCCCAGCGACAUCUUAAAAGUAACACCCAAAGUGCCUUCCUCUUUCUAAUGGAGUCCCCUGGCCCUGCUACCUCCCACUAACUCUACCCUUCAGCCAGAAUGAAGUGUAGAUUUCGUGUAAUGAGAGGUGGAAUUUAAGUCGAGCACAGUGGCUCAUGCUUCUAUCGCAGUGGCUUGGAAGGCUGAGGCAGGAGGAUCACAAGUUCAAAGCCAGCCUCAGCAAAAGGGAGGGACUGAGCAACUCAGUGAGACUCUGUCUCUAAAUAAAAUGAAAAAAUAGGGUUGGGGAUGUGGCUCAGUGAACGUGUCCAUGAAUUCAACCCUCCCCAUCUCCCUGCCCCUCGCCCCCCCCACCCCCCACCCCGCCAAAAAAAGAUGGAAUUUAGCUACCAACUUACUCAGAUGUGUAGCUGGCACAUUACAGAAUUAUAUACGUCUAGCCAAUAACUUCCCAGAGGUCCACCUUGCUAUUGGGAACAGUUCUAUGCAGCUUAGCCUGGAGAGUCAUCCUCAGUAUCCCAGGGUAUUGCUUCCAGGACCACUCAGGAAUGCUGAAAUCCACAUUGCUCAAGUCCCUCACAUAAUAUGACAAAAUUAUUUGCGUAUAAUCUAUGCAUGACUUCCUGUAAACUUUAAAUCAUCUCUAAAUUACUUAUAAUCUAAAUCAGCUUGAAUGCUAUGUAAAUAGAUGUUAUACUGUAUUGUUCAAGGAAUAAUGAAUGACAAGACUACUGUCUGUACAUUUGCUACUGUCAGCACAGAUGCAAAUUUUUUUCAAAUAUUUUCAAUCUGUUGGUUCAGUCUGAGGAUGUGGAAUCCAUGGAUGCAGAGCUGACUUCGUGUGUGUGUAUGUGUGUGUGUGUGUAUACAAACAUAAAUGUGUAUCUCUGCAAAUCUAUAUAUUGUGAUGGGGUCUCAGUAUGUUGCUCAGGCUGGCCCCAAAAUCAUAGUCUCAAGCAAUGCUCCUGCCUGAGACUCCUGAGUAGCUGGGAUUACAGAUGCGUGCCACCUCACCCAGCAUGACUAUCUUUUCAUUCCUUGUGUACUGUCUGGAGUAUAAGGCAAAAGAAUGCUUAUGGAAUUCAUAAUUUUUCUAGGCCCAACAAAGGAAUGGCUGAUAGGUAAGCAAUAUGACUUCAUCUGUAAGAACACUAAAUAUGAUAAACUACAGGAC